CCUACGGGAGGCUGCAGUGGGGGAUAUUGCUCAAUGGGGGGAACCCUGAUGCAGCGACGCCGCGUGGGUGAAGAAGCGCCUCGGCGCGUAAAGCUCUGUCAGCAGGGAAGAAAAUGACGGUACCUGAAGAAGAAGCCCUGGCCAACUACGUGCCAGCCGCCGCGGUAAUACGACGGGGGCCAGCGUUAUCCGGAUUGACUGGGUGUAAAGGGGGCGUAGGCGGUGUGGCAAGCCAGGAGUGAAAGGCCGGGGCCCAACCCCGGGACUGCUCUGGGAACUGGGUGGCUGGAGUGCAGGAGGGGCAGGCGGAAUUCCUGGGGUAGCGGUGAAAUGCGUAGAUAGCAGGAGGAACACCGGUGGCGAAGGCGGCCUGCUGGACUGCAACUGACGUUGAGGCCCGAAAGCGUGGGGAGCAAACAGGAUUAGAUACCCGAGUAGUC
This 440-nucleotide ribosomal RNA is filed under the name uncultured bacterium. Its description in RNAcentral is "partial 16S ribosomal RNA". It matches the Rfam family "Bacterial small subunit ribosomal RNA", at positions 338 to 795 of the family's 1533-position model. The record is from RNAcentral.